This 7295-nucleotide long non-coding RNA is filed under the name Sus scrofa (pig). RNAcentral's name for it is "lncRNA (ENSSSCG00025074236.1)". Lineage: Eukaryota; Metazoa; Chordata; Mammalia; Artiodactyla; Suidae. The record is from RNAcentral.
AGGUGUUAGCCAUCUCCCAGAAAGAACACGAAAAAUAAGUGUUUGAAAAUAUUCAUUAAAUGGCUUAAAUUGAGAGUGUUCAGGGUUUUUUUUCUCUUAUUUCAUUGUUUAAUUUGUAUCUGUGGUUGUGUUGUAGAGUGAGGAAAACUAAACAAAAAUUAAGCUUUCAGUUCUAGAAGUUUCAGCUUCCUAAGAAUGGAUUUUCUCAAAUUCAAGCUGAGCUGGUCAAAGUAGGAUGUUGUUAUAAGUCUUGCUAGGAAAGUAUGGCUCACUCAACUCAGUAUGUGGAGAACAGUUUAUUUACAAAGAGACUGAUCAUGAGAGUGUGGAUGGGGGGUAUGCAGACCAGAAGAGAAAGUACAAGAAUCGGGCAAGUCUGAAAUGAAGACUUUCUUGAGAUGGUCAGAGACAUUUUGUAGAGGGACACAGCCACUCAGGAUGCCCUCGCUGGGGGGGACCUGGAGGAAUAAACCCCUGACCUCCUCCUCCUGCCAAGGCUCUCCGGAUGCCAGCUGGAAAAGGGCCCAUUACUAUGGGCUCUGGAGUCCACCUUCCAGGACUCAGAGGAGCAGGGUGGGAGUACAGAUCCACAGCACAGAUAGGUCCCAAAAGACAUCCUUUUUAUUGUUGAGUAUGUGCCUCAGGGGGUAGGAUAUUCUGAAUCCUUUUGUAAAGGGAGUCUAACAACUUGAGAACUCUUCUGAGAUCUACAAAAGGCCAACCACAGUGGGAGAGGGUGUGGCCAGUCAAUGAUUUAGACACUGAGGUGCAAAGAGUUUGGUUAAAUUGUAUUCCUAUCAAGCUGUGGAGAGUGCUUUGCCAGUGUAGUUUUUAAUUUGCUCCAGACAUCGUAUCCUGACAUUUGCUGAACAGAAAAAUAAAUAGAUCAGACUUCCACCCAACAGAUUACAGCGAGGUCAGUGAUAUCAGUAAUUGAAAAAUUGAUUAAUAAUAAUCAAUAAUUUAAAAAUAUUGUCUACAGCAGAGGAUUUUUUUGGUGACAGGGAAUGUGAUGCUUUUAGUAGAUGUAGAAUGAAUUUGAUAGAUCCCUGUCCUGUGUUUAAAUAUUACCAGGCACCAGUCCUGCCCAGACAUUUUACAAGAGCCCUAGUUCAAAUGUGAUGUUGAUUUUUAAUAAUUACAGAUGUUUUAAUGGGUAACAUUUUUGGAGUUUUGUCUCUUUACUCGUUUUACCUGAAUUUAAAAUUGUGAUGCUAAAGAAUAUUAUCUUCAAUUACAGUUUUGGAGUUUAAGAUUCUGGGUGUAAGGUUUGGGGUUGGAGAUCAUUUUAUUGGAAUGAAUAAAGGGUGGGAUUUUAGGAUGUAAAUUGGAAGCUUGUUCUUACAAAAAAAAUGGUAAUAAACUGAUUUUUAUGAAUAAACUGUUAAGAUCUAUUAUGAGAGGAGGCAUAUAUAUGUAUUUGAUUUUAAAAUUAUUUUACUUAAAACAAUUUUAACAUAAAUAUUAGUGUGUAAUAAAUAGCUUGUAACUUAUUGAGAUCCUAGCUGGAAACUUGUAUUUUGCUUUUCCCGGUCAUGUAUUUUUCCAUUAAGGGUUUUGAUGUGAAUCUUUGUCAACCCUUUGUUUUUCCAGAAAACUAAAUGAUCAGAUAGGUUUGAACAGAUGUAUGAGGCAUCACAGAAUCAUUAUAUGCCACUUUCAUCUUACUUAGACUUGUUAUUUACAGAAACAGUGGGUUUUGCUAUUAACUAAAUUUAUCUUCAUUUCUCUGUGGUGUGAAGUGUGAAUCUGUGUGGUCCUAAAUUUUGGCUCUGUCUGCUUAGCUAAUUUUUUCUUUAAUUGAUGUCAGUCAUGAAUAAAGGCAAAGAAAAUCACCUAGAGAAGCAUUCUUUUUCUCUUUUCUGUAGGAACAGUUACCCUGUGGAGAUGAUUAUGUUGUAACAAUAGACGGAUAGACGUCCUGUUUAUAGAUUAAUAAAUGGGUCCUUUUUAUGGGUGUUCUCUCUAUUAACUCUCCAACUAAUGAUGAUGGAGUACACAUAUUCACAUUUAUCAAGAUGACAUAAGUUUGAAGUGAUUGAAGGAAAUACUUCUCAGAAGGAAUGUGCCAAUAAAUAUUCUUAAUCUGCGCCAAUGUAGCUUCCAUUACAAAUAAAAUAUAGAUACUACAUACAAGCAAUGAGUAUACUGCCUUGAAAGCAAUUAUCUGUUAAGCUGGGAAGACAGUUUUGUAACCAAAAUAUUUCUUAACAGUCAAUUUUAAUAGCUUGUUUCUUAUUAUUCUUAUGUGAGAAUGAUGUCUCUCUCUCUCCCUCCCUGUUUCUCUCUCUCUCAAGUCUUGUGAAGCUUCAUGGUGAAAGGGUAGGGCCAAAAUCUCCACAUCAUACCACCCACACAGUGUUCAUUCCUUUCACUGGCCAUUCCAUUGCCUAAUAUUUAAAAUCUGUAUCAACAAUGACAUCUCUAAUGGCAUAAUUCACCAUUAGAAUUUCCUUGGUCAUAAUUAGAAAUAAUUGCAUUGGCAAAGAGAUAAAUUUCACUGCAUCAGAAAGGGGAAAGGGGGAGCUUAUCAGUCUGUGGAGAGGGAUCUAUAGAGACAUGUGUCAACUUCAGGACAGUCUCUGAGUUUUGAAGUCCAGGAUCCACUCUUAAAACAUCAUCACCACUCUGUAGUCCCAUCUAAGUAGAGAUUGCAAACCACAGCUCUGGAUGAUUCUUUUAUCAGUGUAAAUAGGGAACAUCUUGGAUGAAGAACCAAAACCACUGGUCCACAAAACUAUAAAUGAUAUCUUACCUCUGAUCCACUUUGAGCAAUGGAAUUUGAAAGCAAAAAAUUGUUGGGCACAAGAAUGUAGGACUCAGAAAUGUGCCCUUGAAGCUUGGAAAUUAGACCAAAGUAGAAGUGGGGUUCUUGAUUAAUCACGGAAGUGACUGCUUACAGAGAGGCAGUCAGGGGGAGCAGAAAGACCAUGGACUUUGAAGCAGGACUGACUUGGUUCAAAUCCUUACUCCCUUGCUUAAUAGCUAUGUGCUCUUGAUCAACUUAAUUAAUCUCCUUGCGUCUCAGUUUACUUGCCAGGGAAGGUUGUAGUACAUCAGUCCUAGCACCUAUAAAAAUUAACAUGGAAUAAAUGCUAAUCCUCUGUAUCCUUUACUUGAGGAAAAGAGUGAAAGAAAUACAUAUGGUGAAAAUUCAGGAAGAAGCAAAUAGAACAAGGAUGAAUUAGAUGCAUUAACCUUAUUUCAUCCUGGCUGGUCUUAGAGGUCAAGAUUAAUGGCAACUUGGCUCUCCAAGCAAAUAUUCUUCACCCAUCUGUUUUGGAAUACCUGAUAGAUAUUCCAAAUUUGAAUUAAAUGAUUGGGUUUAUCUUGAUUAAUUACAAAUAGCAAAAUGAUUAUGAUUAAGAGUGAUGUUUAAAAUAUUUCCUUUAAAAGCUGAGCUCUUCUGUCUAGAGCGUUUACUUACUAAAAGUAUUUUUUCCUUUGUGGAAAUUAAAAGGGCAGAGCAGGAGCAGUAGGGUGUUUUUCAAGAAAUUCUGCUGUUCUCAUGUCAUUUGUAGAUUUGUACAUCAUUUGUUUUAAUCUAAGGAUCUUAGGGCUUGAAUUUGUACAAAAGAAAAUAAUUUCAAACUUCAAGAACAAACCCAAGGUAGAAAAGCAAGCUGUAGAAACUCACUCAGACUUUAGCAGAAGGCAAAUCUGGUCCCAGUUGAACUGAUCUGUCUGCUUAUUUCUAAGAUUACAGCAAAUCCCAAGAUUGAAUUCCUCACCUGAAUCACUUCCUUAUUGACUGAAUCCAUUUAGACUCCCCUCUAAUUUAGCAGAGUGUUUUUAUUAAAGCCAGGCAUACAAACAUCAAUUAUCCAAGCUGCAUCUAAUUUCCUUCACCAUUUAUUUUCCUUUGUUGGCUGCCAAUGGAUUAGAAGACAUGAUUAGAAUUCAGCAGGAAAAUAAAAACAACAACAAAAAAAGAGAAAAACAGUUCCACAAAAACAGAUGCUUAAACAAGAGCAUCAACAUUCAGAAUUAAAAUAACUUGUGAUUAAAAGAAAGUCCUUAUCUUGCCUAAUGUAAACAUGCUUGCUUGAUUUUUAUCAGCAAUGUCUACUGCAGUGAGACUGAAUUAGCAUGCUAAAUUGGAAUAAGCAGAGGCAAAACCCAAUAGGUUGCACUUACUGUGUGUAAUGUAUACACUAUAGCAUACUUUAAAUGCAAUAUAGUACUUAACUAUUUGCAAUAAUCAUUGCAAAAUGGCUGGCUUAUUGCUGAAAUCUUUCUUUUUAUUCACUUUCAGCCAAUGUCAGUGAGAGAAGAAGAAUAAAAGCAAAGGCAUUCAAGUCAUUUUGUGAACUUGUUAAAGGUACAGAUUUGUUUCAAAAGAAUCAUAUUAAAAUUGGAAUGGACACAUUUAUUAGUCAGCCCCUGCUACACCCUAGGUACAUUAAUGCUGUCAGUGACAGCAAGAAAAUUGUCCAAUAAAGGGAGAGAACUUAAAAUCUGAAAAGCCACUAUCAAGGAAACAGCAGAUGAUGCAAAGGAGGAGUGGUGCACUGAAUUUGAGGAUAGCCCUCAGUCAAUUGUGUCUUUGUCUGGAAGUGGCAAACUAUGGCCCAUGGGACAAAUCUGGCCUCCCACCUAUUUCUGUGAAUAAAAUUUUAUUGGAAAGCAGCCUGCAUAUUCAUUUACAUACUGUCUAUUACCAUUUUAAUGCUGCCAACAGCAGAGUUGAAUAGCUAGAACAUAGACUGGUCCACAAAGCUUAAAACAUUUACUGACUAGUCUUUCACAGAACAAGUCUGCCAACCCCUGGUGUAUAUCAGUGGCUCCCCCAAAGUGGCCCAGCUGUUUCUGAUGGUCCUGCAUGUGGCAUGUGUGAAACAGACCCUAGUUGAAACUAUGUCUCAGUAGCUAAGAAACUCUACUCUCAGAGCCUCGGUCUAUCCAUAAAAUAGAGGUUCUAAAACCUAUCUCAUAAAUUUAAUGUGAGUACAUUGUGGAUGCUGAAUAAAUGAUAGUUCCCUUCCUGGCCUCCCUGAAACUUGUGUAGGUGUCUGGAAAUCAAAGGCUUUUCAAACCCCUCCUCAUGGUGUUCGUCCUGUAAGACCCUGAUUUGGUGCCUGCUGGUCUGGUCCAUCUCAUUUUCUAGUGCUCCACGUUACAAGCCCCAGCCUCCUGAUACUCCUCAAGGUUCUAUUCAGUUGCUCAAAGGCACCAGCUUCUCUUCUGUCCCUUGACCUUUGCCUAUGGUAUUCUCUUGUCUUGAAGUACCUCCUUCCCAUUCCUCUCAUAAUCUACCUGGCCUCUUCCCAGCUGUCCUUGAGAUCAUAGGCUAAAUGUCUCUGCCUCUGAGAGGCUCUCCCUGACCACCAGGUAUAACAUGGGUCCUGUCCUAUGAUCUCAGAGUGCCCAAUGUCCCCUUCCCCUUCAUAACCAAUAUCAUGGUUUACAACUUCAGAAGUAGAUAUAGAAUAUUUUUUUGUCUAUUUUAAAUCUUUCUUGCCAGCCUACCUACUGACCGCAUCGAGUGGUUAAGAGUGUCUAGCACAAAGUAGGCCAUCCAGAAUAUAUUUUGAUUAAAUAACUUACUUUUCAUUCAGCAAUCUGGCAAUAUUUGCAUUUCAUUAAAUCACUUCCUUUAAAGAAAAGGAAGUGAAGUUUUGAUCCUGAUGACAGAUUGGCUGCAUGACUUGGUGCAGUUGUUUUUACCUUUCUGAGCCUCACUGUUUUGAUCUGUAAAAUAGGAGAGUUAAUAUCUACCUCAAGUGUUUGUGAUGGAAUCAGCUGCAGUAAUGAAUGAGAAAAUAUUAAGCACAGUGCAUAUUGUAGGACCUCUGUAGGUUUGCUAGCUCUGAAAGACAUUCAACAGUAGGUAAAGCUGUAGUCCCAACGGUUCUCUAGCUCUUCAGAAUGCUCAGUUUUCCUGUCUAUAAAAUGGGGAUAAUAAUUAUAUCUACGUCAUAUAGUAUAUAUGUGUUAAAUAUGUUAAUACCUGUAAAAUAAUUAGAAUACUGCCUACCACCUGCUAAAUACAUAGUAAACAUUAGUUAUUAUUGUAUUGGUGAUUAUUAUUAACAUCUUGAUUCUUAAAGAUUAUAGAUACUUCCUUGGGGAAAAUGCACGUUCAAGCAAAACUUUCUAAAUAUUUGCAAAGAGUUCACAGUUCGCCUCUUAGACAUAUCCUAUGCUGUCUGUAUGUGCUAUAUGUUAGCCUUGGCCAUCGUCUGCCUCUGAGGCCAAAUCCUAAAGGGGCAGCUUAGUCAUAGGCCUUGCCUAAAAUUAUCCCCCAAAAUCACUGUGUAUGUGAACAUACCUAAGAUUCUGUAGUGUUCAUCAAAUACUCAAAAGGGUUACACUCCCCCACAAUAGGGGGGAUUUUAGUUGUGAUUUUUGUUGGUUGGUUGGUUUUUUUAGGGUUGAGAUGCAAACCCUAUAUACCACAGCAUAUAAGUUUUCUUUUUUUUGAGAUUCAGUCUUUACUUUUAAUUACAGGCUGAACUCUGCGCCCAGAGUGUACUUUGCAGGGCCAACCAAACACACACAGACAUUUGAAAAACCCUGCUUUUGCACUACCGGCCACCUGCAAAGCCGUGUGGGUAGCUGUCUGGGGCCCAGGGGCCUGUGCCAGUGGACCUGGAACCGUAACUGCCUCGCUAGAUAAUCUUUACUUUUGUGAAACAGUAAAUAGCAACCCUUGUAAUCCUCACCCAAGAAUUUGGAAAGCCUGCUCCUGAAAGCACUUAGGAAUCUUCUGGUAGAGACUUUGGUUCUGAAAUAGACCUAGCACUGACUUUUUAAAACCAUUCCCUUUGCCCGAGUGGGGGAAGGAAAGACUAUUAAAAGUUUCUGUUGGUUUUCGGAGUUCCCAUUGUGGCGCAAUGGAAAUGAAUCUGACUAGUAUCCAUGAGGAUGCAGGUUCAAUUCCUUCCCUCACCCAGUGGGUUGGGUAUCUGGCGUUGCUGUGAGCUGUGGUGUAGGUUAGAGAAGUGGCUUGGAUCCUGUGUUGCUAUGGCUGUGGUCUAGGCCCACAGCUGUAGUUCCAGUCUGACCCCUAUGCCCCUGGUGCAAUCUAAAAAGCAAAAAAAAAAGGGAGUUCCCGUCGUGGCGCAGUGGUUAACGAAUCUGACUAGGAACCAUGAGGUUGCGGGUUCAAUCCCUGCCCUUGCUCAGAGGCUUAAUGAUCCGGCGUUGCCGUGAGCUGUGGUGUAGGUUGCAGACAUGGCUCGGAUCCUGCAUUGCUGUGGCUCUGGUGUAGGCUGGCAGCUACAGCUCCAAUUAGACCCCUAGCCUGGGAACCUCCCAUAUGCCGCAGGAGCGGCCCGAGAAAUGGCAAAAAG